This 253-nucleotide ribosomal RNA is filed under the name uncultured bacterium. RNAcentral's name for it is "partial 16S ribosomal RNA". It matches the Rfam family "Bacterial small subunit ribosomal RNA", at positions 524 to 776 of the family's 1533-position model. The record is from RNAcentral.
UACGUAGGGGGCAAGCGUUGUCCGGAAUUAUUGGGCGUAAAGAGCGUGUAGGCGGUCCGGUAAGUCAGCUGUGAAAGUCAAGGGCUCAACCCUUGAAUGCCGGUUGAUACUGUCGGGCUAGAGUCCGGAAGAGGCGAGUGGAAUUCCUGGUGUAGCGGUGAAAUGCGCAGAUAUCAGGAGGAACACCGAUUGCGAAGGCAGCUCGCUGGGACGUAACUGACGCUGAGACGCGAAAGCGUGGGGAGCAAACAGG